CGGUGAUGGAGGAGCACUGGAGGAGAGCAGGAAGAACUGCCACGGUUAACCAGUCACCACCAAUCUCCCUAAUGAAGAACCACAGUGCAGCAGCAGAGGUCCCCAUGAAAGCGAGUUAACAGAAUGAAAAGAGCACUGCUUCCUGGAGCCCGUUCAGGAAGGAGGAGGCUGCCAGACCCAAUGCGCGCAGCAUUGAACGCCAGAGGUAGAGCGAGGAAAUGGGGCGAGCGCGGAUGUGAAAUCUGCACGGCGGGAUAAAAGAUGGCCUGCUUUCCUGGAAAACACAGCCUCCUGUUCAGCGCUCACAUUUUUCUCUUCAUCACAACGGGUUCGGAGGCUUUUCUUCCAAAAAAAAAAUAAAUGUUCUGCCUGCUGCACUCCCAAUUUUGCAUGGGUGCUGUUACGAAGCUCCAUCCAGGUGACUGGCCUGUGCCUUCUGUUUGCUUCUGAACAUCCCAUUUCAAAUGCCUCUUAUGGGUUUCUAUGAUAUGUAAGUCUGUUAGAUGGAUAAACUAUUCCUGAUCUUCCAGGGCAGUAAACCUCACAGCUCCCCUGACUCGGUCUGAGAAAUUUCCAUUGCUUGACAUAUUAAAAAUAUAUGGA
Molecule: long non-coding RNA, 603 nt
Organism: Numida meleagris (helmeted guineafowl)
Lineage: Eukaryota; Metazoa; Chordata; Aves; Galliformes; Numididae
Exons: 3
Source: RefSeq, a predicted model, not a curated record